GUUAUUAAUCCCCAACCUAUGUUCGUGCGCCCCUAUGCACUGUUUUGUAACCAACCUUUCUUUAAUAAACUGUUAAACUGCGACUGAUGUACAGGCACAGUACAAGGUUUUCGGUACAGGUCAGAGUACGUUUCAGAAAAGAUGGGAUUGCUAUUUUUGCUGUUCGAACUUUCUUAGGUUUCGAGACGUGAGCUCGAGGCGAUGAAGGGUCGAGCCUGAGGGACUUCCCAUUUUUCAGUGUGUGUGUCGUGGUGGCGAGGAGCGGUGGUGUAGCUUCCUUUGGCUGCUGCUGCUGCUGCUCCUCCUUUCUUUUCCCCCUUUAGUCUUUUUUAACGUUUGUCCUCGUGUCCCUCUUCCUCCUCGUUGCCUUUCCAUCGUUAUCGUUAUCAUCAUCCUCGCCCUCUCCGCCGGCCUUGUGUUCCUCACCUUACAUCUGCAGAUGGGGCUCACAUUCCUCUUCCUUUUUCUGCUGAUUCAACGCUUCUCGAUUUUAGUUUUCUUUCUCCUCGUUCUCAUCUUUUAUCUUGUCCUCCACCACUCCUCUCCACACGAACAAGGACACACACACGCCACACUGUCACUGUCGAUCCGGUGUCAUUGCAACGUCUUGUUCAGGAAACCGGAACAAGGAGACAUGAAAGUUGGCUGUGGCUGUGGUGAGCGGCGGCGGCGGCGGCGGCGGCGGCGACGGCGGUGGCGACGACGACGACGACGACGACGACGACGACGACGUGUGGCGUGGCGAGCGGGUUUCUGCAGUAUCCCUCUCCUUCCCGUUUUCUGUUAUUCCCCGUUCUCUUCCUCCGCCUGGUGUACUGCUACUCGCUCUUGUACGGUGACUUUUUUUUUUUCCUUCGUUGCAAUAUUUUGUCUGUUUUCUCUUUUCUUUUCUUCUCGUGCUUUUUAUUCACAUUAUUAUUUCUUAUUCUAUUUUGUUUAUUUUGUGUGUUUGUACGUGUGUAUUUCCCUCUUCCACAUUUUAUUUGGAUUUUCUUAAUUUUUCUCGUAUUUUUCUAUUCUCCUAUUCUUCCUUGUAUCACACACACACACACACACACACACCGCGUAGUGUAGUGGUUGUUAGCACGCUCGGCUCACAACCAAGAAGGCCUGGGUUGGAAUCCCGGGAGCGACGAGGCAAAUGGGUGAGCCUCUUAAUGUGUAGCCCCUGUUCACCUAGUAGCAAGUAGGUAAGGGAUGUAACCCGAGGGGUUGUGACCUCGCUGUUUCGGUGUGUGGUCACACACACACACACACACUUCAUCGUCUCUUACUACCGAUGCCGUUGCUAUGACAAGUAUUUUAUAUUAAAUUAAUUUAUUAUUUAUUAAUUUAUUCGCUUAUUAUUAUUAUUAUUAUUAUUAUUAUUAUUAUUAUUAUUAUUAUUAUUAUUAUUAUUAUUAUUAAAUAAUUUGCAUAUUUAAUUAUCUACAUAUAUUAUUUAUCUACAUAUAUUAUUUUUAUUUUAUUAUUAUUAUUAUUAUUUAUUUUAUUUAUUUAUUUUUAUUUUUGUGUGUGUGUCGGGGAUGAGUUUUACAGCUCUCAUCGCAAGUUGUAUUAAAAUUCAAUAGCCACAUUUGCUCGCUCGUGUAUAUAUUGUUUAGUGUUAUCAGCGGUUCUUAAGAAACAGGAUUUUAAGAGAUUAUAAACUUUACGUGAUAUUAAGUUUUGUUUGGUUAACACUUGAUGCGCUUCAUCCUUCUCUCGCUCUUUGUUCGUGUUUCAUUCUCUUUCCUCGUGUAAACUGCUGUCCUCAUUCGUUUGUUCCCUUCUUUUAUGCACUUCAACCAUCCAGCCACAAUUUCUCGGUUGCCUCUGCACUUGUGUUGUUGUCUUGUUCAUCUUGUAUUCUAAGGCAAUGGAACAGUCCGUUGAUUUCUGUUGAUAUUUUUAAAUUCUUGCACUAUAUACAUUUUUCAUAGAUUUUCCUCACCACACGCCACCACCGUCCCUGUUGAUGCUGCCGUCAACUUUAUUGGUGAGCCUUGCGUCCCAAACCUUUUUUUUUCCCUCUCUCCUGUAUUCCUCACCGCUCGUUUAGGCUGUCAUCUUUCCCUUCCCCUUUCUCUUUCUUUUCACCACUUUCACCUCUCUCUCUCUCUCUCUCUCUCUCUCUUUCUCUCUCUCUCUCUCUCUCUCUCUCUCUCUCUCUCUCUCUCUUGUUUUGGAAUAAAUUAUUUAAAAAUAUCGUGUUUAUUUACGUGAUUUUUUUUUCUCAUGCUUUUCUUGUCCCCAUUUCCUUUCUCUCAGCUUCCAUUUAUUUUUCUUGAAUAAAUUCUAAGGCGUUAAAGCAAGAGAGCAGGAUACCGAGGAAACAAUAUCUGCGUGUAAUGUUCACCACCACGGUCUUGGAGAUCACGUGUUAGACCAAAGCGAGCUAUAUAUGUAUACACCUCAGGGAAAGCGUAGAGUUCAUGGCAUCCUGAUCAGUGAGUAAGCCUGGGAAUUUUCUUAAACCACUCAUCUAAUCCUGUUUUUCAUGUAGGAGGGGGUGAAGGAGAAUAUAUCUGCUCCCUCUUCAUGAUCGCCUCUAUAUGUAUGCUCAGGGAGAUCAGUAACUUCUCGCUCAUUAAUUAAUUUUCACUGCAACAUGCAACAAUUCACAGCACUAGAAACAAUGUAUGAAAUAUCUGUGAGCGUCUACAACAAACGAGAGAAUUAAAGAGUAUGUUCUGUAAUUUCUACCCAGGAUAAUGUUUGGAGGCGGCUGUCAAAAAGGAAGAGAUGUCUCAGCGUGCCAAAUAGCAGUGAAGAAGUUAAGAAUCCUUGGCAUCAGAGUGCAAAGCGAAAAUUGGCUUGUCAGACGAUAGGUAAGGACGAUACCUCACAGCUAGCGAGUAAAGUGGGGACCGGCAGCAAUCAGGGAAGGACUACAUGCACGCAGUUUCACUAAUCUUGUUGUAGUCUUAAAUUCCUUUCUCUCGUCCACUUCCACAUCUUGUCUGCCUUUUCUGCUCUCUUCCCAUGGACUUGAAAAUAUUUCCUUUUACUACUUCAUCAUUCUUUUUCUUUUACUACUUCAUCAUUCUUUUCUCUUUUGUCUUGAUGGUCCUUGUCCUGCUCCUCGUCACUCGCCGCCACCUCUCCCUGUCAGCUUUAUUUAUUGGUGAGUUUCAAGACGUGCAAUCCCAAAGCGCUCGCUCUCUCUCUCUCUCUCUCUCUCUCUCUCUCUCUCUCUCUCUCUCUCUCUCUCUCUCUGUCGUGUGUGUGUGUUCUGAUUCUGGUAAUGUAACUUUAGAUGAUAUAGACUUCGUUUACAUGAUUUUAGACAAAUUCCUUACUCUUUUUUUCGGAAUCAGAUUCUGAUAAAACUUUUAUCCCACAUUUUUUCUUCACUUUUUUUCUCUCCAUUUUCUCACUCGGUUUUCGUUUUUGCAAGAUACCGAGAGAACAAUAUUUAAUUAAGAAAGGAUAGUUAGUGUACAUGCGUGCCUAUGGGUGGUAUAGUCCUGUAGCAGUCUGAAGAUGAUCGUAUAGUCCUGUAGCAGUCUUAAGAUGAUCAUCCUGUCAUCCACAUCCUUCUUUUUAUUGUCCUCCUUUAGGGAUUCUUGCUUCUUGCACGUAAACGUAUUGUCAUUUACUUCCUCAUUCUUUCUUCGUCUUGAUGUUACUUGUCUUGCUCUUCGUCACACGCCGCCGCCUCGCCACCACGGCUGCUGUUGGUGCUGCCGGCAACUACAUUGUCCUCGUCAUUGCGUUCCCUCAUGCGUCGCUGUCAUGGCACCCUGGAACACUACAGCCACAACUGCUGCUGUCUUUUAUCCUAUAACAGGUGAUGUGUACUACCAGUUCUCAUACGUUAUUCAGCAAGCGAUGUUUUUCUGAAAAUCAUCGUAAUUUUCCGAAAGAAUGAUAGAAUUUUCAGCAAAACCGUGGACAUUAUAUAAUCUUUUCCUAUUCCUGUCCCUAGAUUUAUUAUUCUCUCCCCUUGCAAGUCUACCACCCCCCACCUCCAUCCUUGCGGUGGUAUCUUUCAGUUAACACCUGUGUACUGUGUUUUUACUUUUUUUUUUUUUUACCUUUCAUUGACUUUUAUUCCUGUCUUCUUUUUCUCUCCGUUUCAUUUUUUUUUUUUUUCGCUCCGAUAAUGAUGUUAAUUUCCUCACACACUACGGCUCUUUUCUAGCAGCUGUGAUUUAGGAUUAGGAAUAUCUACUGGAUGGGGUUCUGUCCCUUGAUAUUGCUGAGUAUUAACCUACAGUUUUAGCCACAAAUAUUGCUGAUCAUUAGUUAUAUUAUGGUGUGGUGUGGUAGUGAUGUCAGGCUGCAGUGGUGAAAUGUUUUCUUGAUGUGGUGGUGGUUAGGAAAAGACAGUGAGAGAUAAUGGUAUAGUGAUACACAAGGUACAGUCGGCUUCAAAAUGAAACACACUUUCUUACCUCUGUUCCUACCAAUAUUUCUAGCCUCUUACCAUGUCAACUCCAGGUUUAUUAGGAGGUAGUAAAUAUGAUUGGUUGGAAGUCUGAAGCUUCCUGCACAUGCGGUAAAGAUAAUAAUGUGAAUGACUUGUGAUGAUGAGGGGAGAAAGGUGGCGAUAGAUGAGGAUGGUGGUGAUAUUGUUCAGUGAGUGAAAAAAGGUUGACGCAUGGUGCUGGAGGUGGCGGGGGGUGUUAGAGUGAUGGAGGAUCAGAGGUGAUGUGAUUGUCAAUGAUGGGUGCUGGAGUGGAGGAGGUCACGGGAGGUUGGAUAACGGCGUGAUGAUUAGUGAUGGGAGUAAUGGAUAUGACGUGUUGUGAGGGAAUGAUGAUUAAUGAUGGGAAGUGAUGUGUGCUGACAGCCUAUUUUUCUUUAGGGCAAUAUGGGCUUCGGUUCCCUCCCAUUGCUUCCUUGCAACCCUGUCUCCUUUCUCAUUUACCGAGUUUCACAUAUUACCGUUACUGGUAAUUUAAAUUUUCUUUACUCUGAGUUGUGACCUUCGUUCUUUCACUCAACUGAGUGUAUCGAAUGAUAAUUUUUACGUAAUGAAAAAAAAACGAAAUUAUUUUCAGGAUUAUCACUGCAGUCUCUCUCUCUCUCUCUCUCUCUCUCUCUCUCUCUCUCUCUCUCUCUCUCUCUCUCUCUCUCUCUCUCUCUCUCUCUCUCUCUCUCUCUCUCUCUCUCUCUCAGUAUUGUCGAUUCUCUGUUUCCAUCCUCUACAGAGCACUUUACACCGUCAUUCGUUCUCUCUCCCUCAUCUCCUCCCCUGGGACCUAGUCUGUCCUCUCAAACGGUGUUUACGAACCACAGCCACUUACCAAAGACUUAUUUAAAAUCGAUUUCUCUCCCCACCUCUUUCCCUAUCAUUGCUAGUUUUCUCAGCCUAACAUGACUUGUUACCCAGCCAGGUGUGUCAGCGGUGUUGUGAUCGUCGCCUAGAGGUGUCCAUGUUCCGGGAGUCGCUGCCCUUCCAGUCCCCCUCCGCUGUCUGUCUGAGCAACCUGGGUGAAGAGCGGCGGACGCCGCGUUCCGUGUUAAUGUUUCCUGACCAGCCGUCCUCUCUUAUUUUCCCAGUCCUAGCGAGGUGAAGGAGGGACGCUUGCUUCUGCGGCAAACAAGGAUUGAGGUGAAGGAGGGACGCUUGCUUCUGCGGCAAACAAGGAUUGAGGUGAAGGAGGGACGCUUGCUUCUGCGGCAAACAGAAGCAAUCCGCGAGGACGACAGGAAGGUGCGAACGUUUGAUUGAGGUGGAUGAAAAUGAUUAAUUAAUUGCUCAAUAUGUUGCUGACCAGCAGUCUUCAACGUUCGCACCUUGUCAUCCUCGUGGGUUGCUAUCUUAAACACCUUCACCACUUUAUCAGAAGCCGCCUCCUUUACUAACUAGUAGGGACUGGAGAGGCAAAGAGGACGGGGCUGAUCAGCAAACGGAUGGAGAAACCAAGAAUGCCAUCUCGUGUCUCCAACCCUACGGGGUGGUUGUAAGCACCGAGGACGCAAGGAUGGGGAUAGCCCACGAACGCCCGGCGAUGUCUUUAGUACGAAAACUCUGGGAGGGCGAAGGCACGUGGCAUUCAGCGGGUGAGAACUCAGCAAUGUUGCUGGAAGACAAGCAAGUGUUGCAACUGUGGACAUCUACCACCAGAGCGGUAGCCGGCCAUCACGAAUUACCCACACCAUUUCGAGAUGAAGAACCGGAUCUGCCAAACAACAACAACGAGAUGGCGCAGAAACGCUUGAAGGGACAGACGACGCCUCGCUAGGGAUCCGGACUUCAGACGACGAUAUGCAGGAGAGAGAGAGAACAAUUGCUGUUAAAGAGCGAUGCCAGCGUCUGAACGUGAAGGACCACGAGGAGUAACCUGGUGCCUGCCUCACCAUCCACUCAUGAACCCAAACAAACCUGAGAAAGUGAAGGCUUUGUUUGCGCAGCGAAGUACAACAACGUUUCCCUCAAAGACGGAGUGAUGCAGGUUCCUGACCUAAAUAGCAAACUGGUGGGUGCCCUUCUGCGUUUCCGAAGUGAACUGAUUGCCGCGAUGGCUAAUGAUGUGAAGGCAAUGUUUCUCAUCAAGCUGGCGUGACCCCUCUUCACCGAGACUCCUUAAGAUUCCUUUAGUGGAAAGAUGGGGACCUAAGGAGGGUAACGCGCGCCUACCGAAUGACGGGUAUGUCUUUUCGGGUGUGUAUGGAGUCCCUCCUGUGCUGCUUAUGCAUUGCAAUGAACUUUGAGUUUGACCGACUGUGAGGAAGAAUAUCGCAUGGCCAGUAGUAAACUAAGCAUGGAGAGGCUUGUACGUGGACAACUUGAUUCUUUCAGUACCUCCACCGAAAAUGCCUCCAGAUUUACUCGCGAUCUUCAACAAAUGCUCACAAAGAGAGGAUUUCUGCUAACAAAGUGGGGUUAGUAGUAACCAUAAGGAGACAUAGUAGUAGUACACUGUGUCCUACAGAGAGAGACAUGAAUAAGAAUAGAUCUGAGUAAGGACGCACUGGCUACAAAACAGGAUCUGGAAAGGGAUCAAUCAACUAGCUGUGAGGGGAGUACUGAGGGUGAGCAGUUCCGUGUAUGACCCUCUUGGACUGGUCAGUCCUGUAAUGAUUAAGACGAAGGCGAAGAAGAUCUUUCAGGACGAGUGCAACCGAAAGGAAGGAUGGAUGCCUCCCUCCUGCUAAAUCACCACAGGUCCUAGUUGGCUUGGCUAGAGGAGUUACCACAACUGACGGUCUUUCAAAUUCCCCGAUGCUACAGGCGGGAGGACAUGGGAGACGUUAUCACUUACCAACUGCAUCAUUUCAGAUCAAACAUGCUGAGAUGGUGAUAUUAAGAGUUGUUCAAACCACAACGUGCAAAGAAGAGAUGAACCUAAAGUUAAAGUCAAAGAAAAAAAACUACAGAGGAAGCAUUCGAUCUGUCGAGUGGAACCCUUCAUGGGUGAGGGUGGAUUUUACUCCAUGUGGACGGCUGGACCACGCACCGUUGCCUGCUACAAGUCGGUAUCCCAUUUCCAUGCUCAUACGGAGAGAGAUCAUCAUAUCACACAAAAUUGAUUCUACAAGAGUGCAUGAGAACUUACUUGACAGUUCACGCAGGAUGGGAGCAUGUUACGUCACACUUACUGGAUUCCACACACACCACCUGCCUGAGGACCGAGACUAACCCCCAUGCUGGCAUCAUUCUCGUCAGCUGGAGUGGAUUGCUUCAGACCGUUCUUGGUCAAAGUGGAAAGAAGCAGAGUGAAAGUGUUGGGGAUGCCUCCACGUGCACGCACAUAAGAACAUAAGAAAUAAGGGAAGCUGCAAGAAGCGACCAGGCUUCUUCAUGCAGGGACGUGGCAGUCUCUGUAUGAAAUAUAUCUACCUAUUUUUCUCUAUUUCUUAUCCC
Molecule: long non-coding RNA, 7798 nt
Organism: Scylla paramamosain (green mud crab)
Lineage: Eukaryota; Metazoa; Arthropoda; Malacostraca; Decapoda; Portunidae
Exons: 4
Source: RefSeq, a predicted model, not a curated record